RNAcentral lists this transfer RNA (76 nucleotides) under Staphylococcus aureus. RNAcentral's name for it is "tRNA-Thr". It matches the Rfam family "tRNA". Rfam says of the family: Transfer RNA (tRNA) molecules are approximately 80 nucleotides in length. Their secondary structure includes four short double-helical elements and three loops (D, anti-codon, and T loops). Lineage: Bacteria; Bacillati; Bacillota; Bacilli; Caryophanales; Staphylococcaceae. RNAcentral also lists the same sequence under 1 other name. The record is from RNAcentral.
GCCGGCCUAGCUCAAUUGGUAUAGCAACUGACUUGUAAUCAGUAGGUUGGGGGUUCAAGUCCUCUGGCCGGCACCA